Molecule: ribosomal RNA, 414 nt
Filed under: uncultured bacterium
Lineage: Bacteria
Description: bacterial SSU rRNA
Rfam family: Bacterial small subunit ribosomal RNA
Source: RNAcentral
UGGGGGAUAUUGCACAAUGGGGGAAACCCUGAUGCAGCAACGCCGCGUGAAGGAAGAAGGUCUUCGGAUUGUAAACUUCUGCCCUCAGGGAAGAUAAUGACGGUACCUGAGGAGGAAGCUCCGGCUAACUACGUGCCAGCAGCCGCGGUAAUACGUAGGGAGCGAGCGUUGUCCGGAUUUACUGGGUGUAAAGGGUGCGUAGGCGGAUCUGCAAGUCAGUAGUGAAAUCCCAGGGCUUAACCCUGGAACUGCUAUUGAAACUGUGGGUCUUGAGUGAGGUAGAGGCAGGCGGAAUUCCCGGUGUAGCGGUGAAAUGCGUAGAGAUCGGGAGGAACACCAGUGGCGAAGGCGGCCUGCUGGGCCUUAACUGACGCUGAGGCACGAAAGCAUGGGUAGCAAACAGGAUUAGAUACC